This is a long non-coding RNA of Xenia sp. Carnegie-2017, 563 nucleotides long. RefSeq lists it as uncharacterized. The transcript is spliced from 2 exons. NCBI's taxonomy places the organism in Eukaryota, Metazoa, Cnidaria, Anthozoa, Malacalcyonacea, Xeniidae. The record is from RefSeq and is a predicted model, not a curated record.
UGGAAGGGGUAAGACUAGGCCAAAUGCUUUACUGAAACUAUUAAGAAAAUAAAUUUACAUGCUCCUCAGUUUGGAGCCUCCAAACCUUGUCACAUUUUUGUGUUGUCCUCCCCCUCCCCCACAGUUGUUGAAGUGACAAGUUGAAAUUUUUAUAAAUAAAUGAAGUUUUACAGAUAGUUCUUUCAAGAAAAAUGCCAUACACUAUGAUCUUGACAGCGUGUUUUUCAAAGCGAAAAACCAGUGGCGGAUCCAAAUUCAAAAUCGACGGAGUCAAUGAGUCUUCGAGGGAAGGAAAGGGACCAGCUCCAGAGUGACCAUAUACGAAUAAUUUAUCAUCAAAAAUGCAUUGAUCAGUGUAGAAAGCUUCCCCCUGUUGCCAAACUUCCAAAAGUUGCAAUUAUUUAUUCAGGCGGGGCUAUCUAAACUCACCAGAGCUGAUCUAGUAGUAAAAAUUACUAAGUUUGGUCACGAGGACAAGCUACCUGAAUGGUGCAAAUUUUCAUGCGUUUUCAUGGCUGAAAAGAUUGCCAUUACCAAAUUAAAUAAAAAACUAAUUUUUCCAA